AAUAUCACGUUGAAACACCGCUUCUCGUACGAUCACCGAAGUUAAGCAACGUUGAGCCUGGUCAAUACCAAGAUGGGUGACUGCUUGGGAAUACCAGGGGCUGUAAG
Non-coding RNA from Acanthosepion pharaonis, 107 nucleotides. The record is from the annotation of a GenBank genome assembly. Lineage: Eukaryota; Metazoa; Mollusca; Cephalopoda; Sepiida; Sepiidae.